GACGAACGCUGGCGGCGGGCUUAACACAUGCAAGUCGAACGGAAAGGCCCUGCUUUUGUGGGGUGCUCGAGUGGCGAACGGGUGAGUAACACGUGAGUAACCUGCCCUUGACUUUGGGAUAACUUCAGGAAACUGGGGCUAAUAUCGGAUAGGAGCUCCUGCUGCAUGGUGGGGGUUGGAAAGUUUCGGCGGUUGGGGAUGGACGCGCGGCUUAUCAGCUUGUUGGUGGGGUAGUGGCUUACCAAGGCUUUGACGGGUAGCCGGCCUGAGAGGGUGACCGGCCACAUUGGGACUGAGAUACGGCCCAGACGCCUACGGGAGGCAGCAGUGGGGAAUAUUGUACAAUGGGCGGAAGCCUGAUGCAGCAACGCCGCGUGCGGGAUGACGGCCUUCGGGUUGUAAACCGCUUUCGCCUGUGACGAAGCGUGAGUGACGGUAAUGGGUAAAGAAGCACCGGCUAACUACGUG
RNAcentral lists this ribosomal RNA (468 nucleotides) under uncultured bacterium. Its description in RNAcentral is "partial 16S ribosomal RNA". It matches the Rfam family "Bacterial small subunit ribosomal RNA", at positions 28 to 507 of the family's 1533-position model. The record is from RNAcentral.